RNAcentral lists this transfer RNA (67 nucleotides) under Eucorysses grandis. Its description in RNAcentral is "tRNA-Trp". Lineage: Eukaryota; Metazoa; Arthropoda; Insecta; Hemiptera; Scutelleridae. The record is from RNAcentral.
AAAGCUUUAAGUUAAUUAAACUAUUAACCUUCAAAGUUAAAUAUAUGAAAAUAUAUCAUAAGCUUUA